UGGGGAAUAUUGGACAAUGGGCGAAAGCCUGAUCCAGCCAUGCCGCGUGUGUGAAGAAGGUCUUCGGAUUGUAAAGCACUUUAAGUUGGGAGGAAGGGCAGUAAGCGAAUACCUUGCUGUUUUGACGUUACCGACAGAAUAAGCACCGGCUAACUCUGUGCCAGCAGCCGCGGUAAUACAGUGGGUGCAAGCGUUAAUCGGAAUUACUGGGCGUAAAGCGCGCGUAGGUGGUUCGUUAAGUUGAAUGUGAAAGCCCCGGGCUCAACCUGGGAACUGCAUCCAAAACUGGCGAGCUAGAGUAGGGCAGAGGGUGGUGGAAUUUCCUGUGUAGCGGUGAAAUGCGUAGAUAUAGGAAGGAACACCAGUGGCGAAGGCGACCACCUGGGCUCAUACUGACACUGAGGUGCGAAAGCGUGGGGAGCAAACAGG
RNAcentral lists this ribosomal RNA (429 nucleotides) under Pseudomonadota bacterium. Its description in RNAcentral is "Proteobacteria bacterium partial 16S ribosomal RNA". It matches the Rfam family "Bacterial small subunit ribosomal RNA", at positions 355 to 776 of the family's 1533-position model. The record is from RNAcentral. Lineage: Bacteria; Pseudomonadati; Pseudomonadota.